This is a long non-coding RNA of Phyllopteryx taeniolatus (common seadragon), 2378 nucleotides long. RefSeq lists it as uncharacterized. The record is from RefSeq and is a predicted model, not a curated record. The transcript has 3 exons. Lineage: Eukaryota; Metazoa; Chordata; Actinopteri; Syngnathiformes; Syngnathidae.
UCAAACGACCUAUCCUCCAAGUACUUCUUGUUCAUCUCGUUUGGAUAGGAUCGGAAAGUUCUGAAGCAAAAAGGAGAAUCUGAAGAUGGCCACAGAGACACUUUCAAGUGACAGAUCGAGCCUGGCCGAUGAAACACUAUCAUGCAAAAGCGCCAACAUUCCCCAUGCGUUUGAUGCCCCUUCUAUCUUGUCAAAGCCAAAAGAGAUCUCGGACUUUCCGUGCACUUCUUCUCUGGACCUUGCAAAGUGCACGUCAGUGCCAUUUUACCCACCCGCUGCACACCAGACGUCACCUAGAUCUGCCAUCGAGCCGGAUCAAGCCGACGAAGGAGGGAUAGGUAAUAGACAGGCUCUCGCCAGAUGGCACCAUGACCCCCAACCUCGGACAGGGAUUGCUUUCCCUGUCUCCGCUCCACCGCCGAGACAGACGGCCACGGGGAUGCCUGGUUUAUCUCACACGGACGCUAAAUGAAUUACCAGCCAGUCCAAAGGAGCUCAUCAAAGCAGAGAUGAGGAAUCCUGAGUCUUCACCCGGACUAUAAACCAAUUACCAGCUACCCCAGAAACCUGGAAUCCCAGGUAUCAGAAGACCCCCUGUGUGCAGGGCUCAAGAUACUGACCCAAAAAGCUUGAAAAUCUGCUGGUCCCGCAUGCCAAGAUAAAAGUUUAAUGCAACUCGUUAAGACAUCGGGGAUAAUGGAUUGGACACGAGCGGAUGUUCCGCCUACACACAUGCUCAUUUGCCCCGCUCCCAGCCCCCAACUUGCUCACUCAAUCACAAAUCUAACUGCAGCCCUGUUAGAUUUGUGAUUAACAGUCAGUGGAAGGCGAUCAAACAUAGGUACCCAUAUUUGUUGUAGCUACUUUGAUUCAUAAUAGUUUUGCCAAACUAAGACAUUGUAUCAAACCCAGUGAAAUUUGUAACAACAGCUCAGCAGAAUAUCGCUAAACCUACCUACAACCGCCAAUUUGUGUUGUCACUGUAAGUAAACGCCGAAGCUCUGACCAUGCUAGCACUAACUGCUAUGUCAGACCCAGCGGCCUACGAAACUGUCUAGUUUCCCACCAGCACAGGUUGCCCCAAGAACAUCAGCACCAUCAAUGUAACCCUGGUGUUUGCGGUGCAGUCAAAAUUGUCAUUGUUUUACAUGGGACCUCAUCGCUACAGUAAUUACUCAUCAUUGUCAUGAUCAUCAGCAGCAUAAGAAUUGUUGACAUGUACGUACAGGAUGGCGGACAACUGGCUAGCACAUCUGCCUCACAGUUUUGAGGACCGGGGUUCAAAUCCCGGCUCCGCCUGUGUGGAGUUUGCAUGUUCUUUCCGUGCCUGCGUGGGUUUUCUCCGGGUGCUCCAGUUUCCUCCCACAUCCCCAAAACAUGCGUGGUUGAUUGAUUUUAAGACUCAAAAUUGCCUGUAGGUGUGAAUGUGAGUGCAAAUGGUUGUUUGUAUCUAUGUGCCCUGCAAUUGGCUGUCGACCACUUCAGGGUGUAUCCCGCCUCUCGCUCGAAGAUAGCUGGGAUAGGCUCCAGCACGCCCACAACCCACGUCAGGAAUAAGUGGUACAGAAAAUGGAUGGAUGGAUGUACGUACAGGUACUGUACAAUGUCUAUCUGCAUCCUUAGCUGUAAGCUAUUUACUCUAGGCCUACCGUAUUUUUACACCUAUGUGUGAAGAUGCUUGUAACGGUUUUAUUAAAGUGUUUUGGGGUCAUAGUUUGUGCAAAGUUUAUGGUUUAAACUAUUGAUGUAGGCAAUUAUAAUCUCUUAGGUGAGCAUCAAUUAUUCACGAUAAUUUGCUAUUUGCGGUUGGGCUUGUUGCCUAUCCCCACUGUAGCCAAAGCUUUCUUUGCACAACAGAAAUCCACGCUGUCGCAGAGGAAAAUGCAAAGAAUGAAUGUAAAUGUUGAUUCAUUCAUUAAUACUGCAUUUUCCUGCUAGAAACGAAAUCCCCCUAUUGCUUCAAUUUUGCAAACUGACAGUAAAUUACCAAAUCCAUUAAGGACACUCACAUCAUAGCUGAAUAACGUGUCUUUCAAUAAAGUAUUUGUGCCACAGGCAAAAAUGCAGAAGCCAGCAAGGACAUCUUCCUCUGUUUCCCUGUCAUAUUAAUGUGAGCGUGGGAGUGUGAAGCACCCCUCCAUCAUUGUCACCUUCCCUUCGGUUUCUUUCUCAAAGAAAAACUUGAACGUUAAAUAAGCUUGGAGGAAAACUUCAUGUCCACGCAAUUUACUCCUGAGCUUUAAGGAAAAAUGUUGAGCAAGGGAUAGGAGACGCAUCUACCCAGGCAUUAAUAUGGUUGUAAUAGUUGUGUAGCCUACAAGUCAUCAAUUUGUUGUUCAUCAUGACAUUGAGGAUUGGAGUAUAACUUCCUACUGAGU